UACGAAGGGAGCUAGCGUUGUUCGGAAUUACUGGGCGUAAAGGGCGCGUAGGCGGGUUUCCAAGUCGGGGGUGAAAUUCCAGGGCUCAACCCUGGGACGGCCUUCGAUACUGGGAGCCUGGAGAUCGGGAGAGGUGAGUGGAAUUCCGAGUGUAGAGGUGAAAUUCGUAGAUAUUCGGAGGAACACCAGAAGCGAAGGCGGCUCACUGGCCCGAGACUGACGCUGAGGCGCGAAAGCGUGGGAGCAAACAGG
RNAcentral lists this ribosomal RNA (252 nucleotides) under uncultured bacterium. Its description in RNAcentral is "partial 16S ribosomal RNA". It matches the Rfam family "Bacterial small subunit ribosomal RNA", at positions 524 to 776 of the family's 1533-position model. The record is from RNAcentral.